This 494-nucleotide ribosomal RNA is filed under the name uncultured bacterium. Its description in RNAcentral is "partial 16S ribosomal RNA". It matches the Rfam family "Bacterial small subunit ribosomal RNA", at positions 30 to 507 of the family's 1533-position model. The record is from RNAcentral.
AUUGAACGCUGGCGGCAUGCUUUACACAUGCAAGUCGAACGGCAGCGGGGAGGAGCUUGCUUCUCUGCCGGCGAGUGGCGAACGGGUGAGUAAUACAUCGGAACGUGUCGAGAAGAGGGGGAUAACCACCCGAAAGGGUGGCUAAUACCGCAUAAAUUCUGAGGAAGAAAGCUGGGGACCUAGGAAUAGGCCUAGCGCUUUUUGAGCGGCCGAUGUCGGAUUAGCUAGUUGGUGAGGUAAAGGCUCACCAAGGCGAAGAUCUGUAGCGGGUCUGAGAGGAUGAUCCGCCACACUGGGACUGAGACACGGCCCAGACUCCUACGGGAGGCAGCAGUGGGGAAUUUUGGACAAUGGGGGCAACCCUGAUCCAGCCAUGCCGCGUGUAUGAAGAAGGCCUUAGGGUUGUAAGGUACUUUUGUUAGGGAAGAAAAGUCAGCUGUGAAUAAUGGCUGAUACUGACGGUACCUAAAGAAUAAGCACCGGCUAACUACGUG